UACGUAGGGGGCUAGCGUUGUCCGGAAUCAUUGGGCGUAAAGAGCGUGUAGGCGGCCAGAUAAGUCCGCUGUGAAAACUCGAGGCUCAACUUCGAGCUGUCGGUGGAAACUUUCUGGCUAGAGUCCGGAAGAGGAGAAUGGAAUUCCUGGUGUAGCGGUGAAAUGCGCAGAUAUCAGGAAGAACACCCGUGGCGAAGGCGGUUCUCUGGGACGGGACUGACGCUGAGACGCGAAAGCGUGGGGAGCGAACAGG
RNAcentral lists this ribosomal RNA (253 nucleotides) under uncultured bacterium. RNAcentral's name for it is "partial 16S ribosomal RNA". It matches the Rfam family "Bacterial small subunit ribosomal RNA", at positions 524 to 776 of the family's 1533-position model. The record is from RNAcentral.